UUUAGAAUUAAACGGCUGCGGUACUCUGACCGUGCAAAGGUAGCAUAAUCAUUAGCCUGCUAAUUUCAGGCUGGAAUCAAUGGCAAGACGAAGAAAAAGCUGUCUCUUUACAUUUUAUUUGAAUUUUUCGUUUUGGUUAAGAGACCAAGAUAAUUUAGUGGGACGAGAAGACCCUAUUGAGCUUUAAUUUUAAAUUAGUGGAAGAGUCUAGUAUUAGGUUUUGGUUGGGGCAACGGUUUUUUUAAUUGGACAAAAGGGAUAGAGAAAUGAAUUAAUUCUUGUUUUGACCCAAGUGACAUAUUUUGGUAAAUAGAAAAAGUUACCAUAGGGAUAACAGCGUAAUUCUUUUUGAGAGUACUUAUUGACAAAAGAGUUUGCGACCUCGAUGUUGGAUCAGGUUUACCUAGAGGUGCAGCAGCUUCUAAGGGUUGGUUUGUUCAACCAUAAAAAACUUACGUGAUCUGAG
RNAcentral lists this ribosomal RNA (466 nucleotides) under Ophiocreas oedipus. RNAcentral describes it as "partial 16S large subunit ribosomal RNA". It matches the Rfam family "Bacterial large subunit ribosomal RNA", at positions 1916 to 2609 of the family's 2925-position model. The record is from RNAcentral. Lineage: Eukaryota; Metazoa; Echinodermata; Ophiuroidea; Euryalida; Asteroschematidae.